RNAcentral lists this ribosomal RNA (583 nucleotides) under Alternaria porri. RNAcentral's name for it is "eukaryotic LSU rRNA". The stretch from base 208 to 361 matches the Rfam family "5.8S ribosomal RNA". Lineage: Eukaryota; Fungi; Ascomycota; Dothideomycetes; Pleosporales; Pleosporaceae. The record is from RNAcentral.
AUUUCGAAUUUUUCCGUAGNGUAACUUGUUGAGGGAUCAUUACANAAAUAUGAAGGCGGGCNGGAAUCUCUCGGGGUUACAGCCUUGCUGAAUUAUUCACCCUUGUCUUAUGCCUACUUCUUGUUUCCUUGGUGGGUUCGCCCACCACUAGGACAAACAUAAACCUUUUGUAAUUGCAAUCAGCGUCAGUAACAAAUUAAUAAUUACAACUUUCAACAACGGAUCUCUUGGUUCUGGCAUCGAUAAAGAACGCAGCGAAGUGCGAUAAGUAGUGUGAAUUGCAGAAUUCACUGAAUCAUCGAAUCUUUGAACGCACAAUGCGCCCUUUGGUAUUCCAAAGGGCAUGCCUGUUCGAGCGUCAUUUGUACCCUCAAGCUUUGCUUGGUGUUGGGCGUCUUGUCUCUAGCUUUGCGGGAGACUCGCCUUAAAGUAAUUGGCAGCCGGCCUACUGGUUUCGGAACGCAGCACAAGUCGCACUCUCGAUCAACAAAGGUCUAGCAUCCAUUAANCCUUUUUUCAACUUUUGACCUCGGAUCAAGUAGGGAUACCCGCUGAACUUAAGAAUAUCAAUAAGCGGAGGAAA